RNAcentral lists this transfer RNA (64 nucleotides) under Anisocentropus kawamurai. Its description in RNAcentral is "tRNA-Met". The record is from RNAcentral. Lineage: Eukaryota; Metazoa; Arthropoda; Insecta; Trichoptera; Calamoceratidae.
UAAAAAAUAAGCUAAGUAAGCUAGUGAGUUCAUACCUCAUUUAUAAAGAUUUCUUUUUUUUUAA